AUGACCAUAGACAAUUCAAGGAAAAGGCACAUUAUCAAGCCCCUUGACUAUGUUUUCUAUGCAGGAGUGAAAACAAUCUCUCACUUGUUCUUUGAUUGUGUAGUGGUUACAAGUAUCUGGUCUUUUAUCAGUGAUUUGUUCAAUACCCCUAUCGGGACUAAUUUUGAAUCCGUGGCUAGGUAUUUUAUUUCUAAUAAGAAGAAUUCUACUUUGGAUACCAUUAGUUCAGCUAUCCUCUGGUGUACGUGGAAAUAUAGGAACUCUAUGAUUUUUAACAACAUUGUUUCAAUAUCUGUUACUCAUGUGUGGAGACUAAUACUCAAAACUAUCAAAUUCUGGGCGGUCCUAUCUCCAAAGAAAAGCAGAACGAGGUUGGAGGACUUCUUGAGCUCCCUCACAAACUUCACUCAGUAGCCAUUGAGGAUCUUGAGUGGCUAA
RNAcentral lists this ribosomal RNA (438 nucleotides) under Triticum aestivum (bread wheat). RNAcentral's name for it is "partial small subunit ribosomal RNA". The record is from RNAcentral. Lineage: Eukaryota; Viridiplantae; Streptophyta; Magnoliopsida; Poales; Poaceae.